Paramuricea clavata is the source of this 1205-nucleotide non-coding RNA. The record is from the annotation of a GenBank genome assembly. Lineage: Eukaryota; Metazoa; Cnidaria; Anthozoa; Malacalcyonacea; Plexauridae.
UAAAGCGUCACAUUAAACUGUAUUCAAUCAUUAAAAUGUAGAUUAUAUAAAACUUCCUUUCUAGCUAUUUCAGGGCACUCUUUAAUAAAACAAACACUAAUUUGGACCGUAUAUAUUAUCAAUACCUUACUGGGCACAACAUAGGAAAUCAAGUUCAUGUGUGAGAGAAAUUUAGGAUCUACUUUAUCUACAUUUGCGAUAAAUCGGCAAGUUGGAUAUGUCAUGAAAGAUUGGUUACUCAUGAAAAUUCAUUAAUGCCUUAUCACUAUACUGCAUGAUUUUUUUAGUCUACCAAAUAUAUAUUCUUACAAUUUCUAGCUGCUACUCUCAUACAUGCAUGAUUGCAUGUUCAAACAGUUCAAUCACAACACUGUGGUUAUAAACACCUGAAUUGCAUUUUGAUCCUGCUAUUUUAAAAUAUUGAACAAGCUAUUUUUCCUGAGAUUAAAGUCAUAUAAUUCGAGAAUUAUAUUAUGUCAAGUUCCGCCAAUCAUAAUUCAAAUAAAAUAAGUGGGGUUAACAAAUACAUGUUGCAAAAUUGCUAUCGAACACAUUGACAUUAAAAAUAAAUAAAUCGUAAGGAAAACAAAUAAAUAAAUAAAUAAAUUAAAAAAAAAUGAUAGUGAGCUUUAUUUGUCGUGUUACCAACCCUCCAAUCAAGCACCUGUAAGAUAGAAGCUUUGUGGGGAAGCUGCUGGUUGUCUUGGCCCCAUCCAGGUUUCCUGUAAAGAUAUUGCAGGUUUUUCCUGGCCUCCCUGAUGUUCCAGCUGUAGUAUGAGUGAUGGUAAUGCUCAAAUAUAUGUCUUACGAUCAACUUGUAGUUUCAAAAAAAAAAAAAAAAAAUUCUAUUUGCAUAUAACAUGAUUUUAAUCAAUUAAUUAUUUAAAGUGUGUCGAAAGAGAAAUAUAGACGACAUGUCUUCGAAAAGCACAAAGAUCAUCUGUCUUCUAUACGAUUACAGUUGUGGUGGGAGUUGGGUAUUUUCGUCUAUGGGGAAUACACAUGCUGUGUAUUUGUGGGGAUGGAGUGCUCCCAAAGGUCACCCUCAACCCCAUAGACUCACACAAAUCAAUGUAUUAUACAGGGUGUAUCAAAAAAAACGCAACCUCGGAAUUUCCCAAGAAAUCUACAUUGUUUUAAAGACAAAAGAUUUUAGGCGCCUGGGAAUUUAAAAUAGCACAACUGUCAAAAUUACUGCACACGCG